UAACUGGCUGUACCUUGACGGUACCUUAUUAAAAAGCCACGGCUAACUACGUGCCAGCAGCCGCGGUAAUACGUAGGUGGCAAGCGUUGUCCGGAAUUAUUGGGCGUAAAGCGCGCGCAGGUGGUUUCUUAAGUCUGAUGUGAAAGCCCACGGCUCAACCGUGGAGGGUCAUUGGAAACUGGGGAACUUGAGUGCAGAAGAGGAUAGUGGAAUUCCAAGUGUAGCGGUGAAAUGCGUAGAGAUUUGGAGGAACACCAGUGGCGAAGGCGACUAUCUGGUCUGUAACUGACACUGAGGCGCGAAAGCGUGGGGAGCAAACAGGAUUAGAUACCCUGGUAGUCCACGCCGUAAACGAUGAGUGCUAAGUGGUAGGGGGUUUCCGCCCCUUAUUGCUGCACCUAACGCAUUAAUCACUCCGCCGGGGGAGUACGGUCGCAAGACUGAAACUCAAAGGAAUUGACGG
RNAcentral lists this ribosomal RNA (463 nucleotides) under Lysinibacillus fusiformis. RNAcentral's name for it is "bacterial SSU rRNA". It matches the Rfam family "Bacterial small subunit ribosomal RNA", at positions 455 to 916 of the family's 1533-position model. The record is from RNAcentral. Lineage: Bacteria; Bacillati; Bacillota; Bacilli; Caryophanales; Bacillaceae.